Molecule: ribosomal RNA, 1370 nt
Filed under: uncultured bacterium
Lineage: Bacteria
Description: bacterial SSU rRNA
Rfam family: Bacterial small subunit ribosomal RNA
Source: RNAcentral
AGAGUUUGAUCCUGGCUCAGAACGAACGCUGGCGGCGUGGAUAAGACAUGCAAGUCGAACGAGAGAAUUGCUAGCUUGCUAAUAAUUCUCUAGUGGCGCACGGGUGAGUAACACGUGAGUAACCUGCCCCCGAGAGCGGGAUAGCCCUGGGAAACUGGGAUUAAUACCGCAUAGUAUCGAAAGAUUAAAGCAGCAAUGCGCUUGGGGAUGGGCUCGCGGCCUAUUAGUUAGUUGGUGAGGUAACGGCUCACCAAGGCGAUGACGGGUAGCCGGUCUGAGAGGAUGUCCGGCCACACUGGAGCUGAGACACGGUCCAGACACCUACGGGUGGCAGCAGUCGAGAAUCAUUCACAAUGGGGGAAACCCUGAUGGUGUGACGCCGCGUGGGGGAAUGAAGGUCUUCGGAUUGUAAACCCCUGUCAUGUGGGAGCAAAUUAAAAAGAUAGUACCACAAGAGGAAGAGACGGCUAACUCUGUGCCAGCAGCCGCGGUAAUACAGAGGUCUCAAGCGUUGUUCGGAAUCACUGGGCGUAAAGCGUGCGUAGGCUGUUUCGUAAGUCGUGUGUGAAAGGCGCGGGCUCAACCCGCGGACGGCACAUGAUACUGCGAGACUAGAGUAAUGGAGGGGGAACCGGAAUUCUCGGUGUAGCAGUGAAAUGCGUAGAUAUCGAGAGGAACACUCGUGGCGAAGGCGGGUUCCUGGACAUUAACUGACGCUGAGGCACGAAGGCCAGGGGAGCGAAAGGGAUUAGAUACCCCUGUAGUCCUGGCAGUAAACGGUGCACGCUUGGUGUGCGGGGAAUCGACCCCCUGCGUGCCGGAGCUAACGCGUUAAGCGUGCCGCCUGGGGAGUACGGUCGCAAGAUUAAAACUCAAAGAAAUUGACGGGGACCCGCACAAGCGGUGGAGUAUGUGGCUUAAUUCGAUGCAACGCGAAGAACCUUACCUGGGCUUGACAUGUAAUGAACAACAUGUGAAAGCAUGCGACUCUUCGGAGGCGUUACACAGGUGCUGCAUGGCCGUCGUCAGCUCGUGUCGUGAGAUGUUUGGUUAAGUCCAGCAACGAGCGCAACCCCUGUUGCCAGUUACCAGCACGUGAAGGUGGGGACUCUGGCGAGACUGCCCAGAUCAACUGGGAGGAAGGUGGGGACGACGUCAGGUCAGUAUGGCCCUUAUGCCCAGGGCUGCACACGUACUACAAUGCCCAGUACAGAGGGGGCCGAAGCCGCGAGGCGGAGGAAAUCCUGAAAACUGGGCCCAGUUCGGACUGUAGGCUGCAACCCGCCUACACGAAGCCGGAAUCGCUAGUAACGGCGCAUCAGCUACGGCGCCGUGAAUACGUUCCCGGGUCUUGCACUCACCGCCCGUCA